Camellia sinensis is the source of this 245-nucleotide non-coding RNA. Lineage: Eukaryota; Viridiplantae; Streptophyta; Magnoliopsida; Ericales; Theaceae. The record is from RefSeq and is a predicted model, not a curated record.
AUUCAAGAUUGGGAUGGGAGCUCUUCUCUCAGGUGCUCGUUUGAUUUCAGAUGGAAUGUCGCAAGCAGUUUCUGAAUGCCUUGCUUCAUAUAUUACAGACAAAGAAAUUCAGAGUGGUGUUUUGUAUCCUCCUACAAGAAGUUAAAAGACAAACAAAAGAGAAAAAGCAAAACAAACAGAUUAGGGACCAGCGGAGCCCUACCUACGAGAGCUGCACCCAAUCAUGUUCGCCACAACUUGACUGC